AGUGAACGCUGGCGGUAGGCCUAACACAUGCAAGUCGAACGGCAGCACAGUAAGAGCUUGCUCUUACGGGUGGCGAGUGGCGGACGGGUGAGGAAUACAUCGGAAUCUACUUUUUCGGGGGGGAUAACGGAGGGAAACUUACGCUAAUACCGCAUACGACCUACGGGGGAAAGCAGGGGAACUUCGGACCUUGCGCGAUUGAAUGAGCCGAUGUCGGAUUAGCUAGUUGGCGGGGUAAAGGCCCACCAAGGGGACGAUCCGUAGCGGGUCUGAGAGGAUGAUCAGCCACACUGGAACUGGGACACGGUCCAGGCUCCUACGGGAGGCAGCAGUGGGCAAUAUUGGACAGUGGGCGCAAGCCUGAUCCAGCCGUACCGCGUGGGUGAAGAAGGCCUUCCGGUUGUAAAGCCCUUUUGUUGGGAAAGAAACGCAGCAGGUUAAUACCCCGCUGUUCUGACGGUACCCAGAGAAUAAGCACCGGCUAACUUCGUG
This 492-nucleotide ribosomal RNA is filed under the name uncultured bacterium. RNAcentral's name for it is "partial 16S ribosomal RNA". It matches the Rfam family "Bacterial small subunit ribosomal RNA", at positions 29 to 507 of the family's 1533-position model. The record is from RNAcentral.